RNAcentral lists this ribosomal RNA (730 nucleotides) under uncultured eukaryote. RNAcentral describes it as "SSU rRNA". It matches the Rfam family "Eukaryotic small subunit ribosomal RNA", at positions 670 to 1426 of the family's 1831-position model. The record is from RNAcentral.
CGGGUGCACUGAUCCAGCCGGGCCUUUCCCUCUGUGGAACCCCAUGGCCUUCACUGGCUGUGGUGGGGAAACAGGACUUUUACUUUGAAAAAAUUAGAGUGCUCCAGGCAGGCCUAUGCUCGAAUACAUUAGCAUGGAAUAAUAGAAUAGGACGUGUGGUUCUAUUUUGUUGGUUUCUAGGACCGCCGUAAUGAUUAAUAGGGACAGUCGGGGGCAUCAGUAUUCAAUUGUCAGAGGUGAAAUUCUUGGAUCUAUUGAAGACUAACUACUGCGAAAGCAUUUGCCAAGGAUGUUUUCAUUGAUAAGGAACGAAAGUUAGGGGAUCGAAGACGAUCAGAUACCGUCGUAGUCUUAACUAUAAACUAUGCCGACUAGGGAUCGGACGAUGUUAUUCUUUGACGCGUUCGGCACCUUUCGAGAAAUCAAAGUGCUUGGGGCUCCAGGGGGAGUAUGGUCGCAAGGCUGAAACUUAAAGAAAUUGACGGAAGGGCACCACCAGGGGUGGAACCUGCGGCUUAAUUUGACUCAACACGGGGAAACUCACCAGGUCCAGACACAGUGAGGAUUGACAGAUUGAGAGCUCUUUCUUGAUUCUGUGGGUGGUGGUGCAUGGCCGUUCUUAGUUGGUGGAGUGAUUUGUCUGCUUAAUUGCGAUAACGAACGAGACCUUAACCUGCUAAAUAGCCCGUACUGCUUUGGCAGUUCGCCGGCUUCUUAGAGGGACUAUCGG